This 61-nucleotide transfer RNA is filed under the name Neobacillus bataviensis. Its description in RNAcentral is "Bacillus bataviensis tRNA-Ser". It matches the Rfam family "tRNA", at positions 26 to 71 of the family's 71-position model. From Rfam's summary of the family: Transfer RNA (tRNA) molecules are approximately 80 nucleotides in length. Their secondary structure includes four short double-helical elements and three loops (D, anti-codon, and T loops). Lineage: Bacteria; Bacillati; Bacillota; Bacilli; Caryophanales; Bacillaceae. The record is from RNAcentral.
UCGGUCUUGAAAACCGACAGGCGGGUUAAACCGCGCGGGGGUUCGAAUCCCUCUUCCUCCU